Molecule: ribosomal RNA, 408 nt
Filed under: uncultured bacterium
Lineage: Bacteria
Description: bacterial SSU rRNA
Rfam family: Bacterial small subunit ribosomal RNA
Source: RNAcentral
UGGGGAAUCUUGCACAAUGGGCGGAAGCCUGAUGCAGCGACGCCGCGUGCGGGACGAAGGCCUUCGGGCUGUAAACCGCUUUCAGCAGGGACGAGGCGAAAGUGACGGUACCUGCAGAAGAAGCCCCGGCUAACUACGUGCCAGCAGCCGCGGUAAUACGUAGGGGGCAAGCGUUAUCCGGAUUCAUUGGGCGUAAAGCGCGCGUAGGCGGCCAGCCUGGUCGGGAGUCAAAUCCGGGGGCUCAACCCCCGUCCGCUCCCGAUACCGGCCGGCUUGAGUCUGGCAGGGGAGGGCGGAAUUCCCGGUGUAGCGGUGGAAUGCGCAGAUAUCGGGAAGAACACCGGUGGCGAAGGCGGCCUUCUGGGCCACGACUGACGCUGAGGCGCGAAAGCUAGGGGAGCGAACAGG